RNAcentral lists this ribosomal RNA (97 nucleotides) under Periophthalmus magnuspinnatus. The record is from RNAcentral. Lineage: Eukaryota; Metazoa; Chordata; Actinopteri; Gobiiformes; Gobiidae.
CAUUGUGGUCAACACUUCUCAGAUCUCAGAAGUUAAGUAGGGCUGUGCCAGGUUAGUACUUGGAUGGGAGACCACUGGGAAUACCAGGCACCAGUGG